This 106-nucleotide ribosomal RNA is filed under the name Serratia marcescens. Its description in RNAcentral is "partial 16S ribosomal RNA". It matches the Rfam family "Bacterial small subunit ribosomal RNA", at positions 1436 to 1533 of the family's 1533-position model. The record is from RNAcentral. Lineage: Bacteria; Pseudomonadati; Pseudomonadota; Gammaproteobacteria; Enterobacterales; Yersiniaceae.
UAACCUUCGGGAGGGCGCUUACCACUUUGUGAUUCAUGACUGGGGUGAAGUCGUAACAAGGUAACCGUAGGGGAACCUGCGGUUGGAUCACCUCCUUACCUAAAGA